GAAUUCAAAUGAUUGUUGGCC
This 21-nucleotide microRNA is filed under the name Sus scrofa (pig). RNAcentral describes it as "ssc-miR-9818-3p". The record is from miRBase by way of RNAcentral. Lineage: Eukaryota; Metazoa; Chordata; Mammalia; Artiodactyla; Suidae.